RNAcentral lists this ribosomal RNA (785 nucleotides) under uncultured Pseudomonadota bacterium. RNAcentral's name for it is "bacterial SSU rRNA". It matches the Rfam family "Bacterial small subunit ribosomal RNA", at positions 67 to 832 of the family's 1533-position model. The record is from RNAcentral. Lineage: Bacteria; Pseudomonadati; Pseudomonadota.
CGAAAGUUUCCUUCGGGAAACGAGUAGAGUGGCGCACGGGUGAGUAACACGUAGGUAAUCUACCUUCGGAUGGGGAAUAACAACCGGAAACGGUUGCUAAUACCGCAUAAUGCAGCGGCACCUAAUGGUGACAGUUGUUAAAGCGGGGGAUCGCAAGACCUCGCGUCUGAAGAGGAGCCUGCGGCGGAUUAGCUAGUUGGUAAGGUAAUGGCUUACCAAGGCUACGAUCCGUAACCGGCCUGAGAGGGCGGUCGGUCACACUGACACUGACAUACGGGUCAGACUCCUACGGGAGGCAGCAGUCGGGAAUUUUGGGCAAUGGGCGAAAGCCUGACCCAGCAACGCCGCGUGAAGGAUGAAAUCCCUCGGGAUGUAAACUUCGCAAGAACGGGAAGAAUAAGUAGGGGACAAUACCCCCUAUGAUGACGGUACCGUUUGUAAGCUCCGGCUAACUCCGUGCCAGCAGCCGCGGUAAUACGGGGGGAGCAAGCGUUGUUCGGAUUUACUGGGCGUAAAGGGCGCGUAGGCGGCCAGCGCAAGUCAGUUGUGAAAUCUCCGAGCUUAACUCGGAAAGGUCAACUGAUACUGCGCGGCUAGAGUGCGGAAGGGGCAACUGGAAUUCUUGGUGUAGCGGUGAAAUGCGUAGAUAUCAAGAGGAACACCUGCGGCGAAGGCGGGUUGCUGGGCCGACACUGACGCUGAUGCGCGAAAGCCAGGGGAGCGAACGGGAUUAGAUACCCCGGUAGUCCUGGCCUUAAACGAUGAAUGCUUGGUGUCUGGGGUUA